CAGUAGCCGCGGUAAUACGAAGGGUGCAAGCGUUAAUCGGAAUUACUGGGCGUAAAGCGCGCGUAGGUGGUUCGCCAAGUUGGAUGUGAAAUCCCCGGGCUCAACCUGGGAAUGGCAGUGGAUACUGGCUCGCUAGAGUGUGUCAGAGGAUGGUGGAAUUCCCGGUGUAGCGGUGAAAUGCGUAGAGAUCGGGAGGAACAUCAGUGGCGAAGGCGGCCAUCUGGGACAACACUGACGCUGAGGCACGAAAGCGUGGGGAGCAAACAGGAUUAGAUACCCCCGUAGUCCCUGUCUCUUAUAC
This 301-nucleotide ribosomal RNA is filed under the name uncultured bacterium. Its description in RNAcentral is "partial 16S ribosomal RNA". It matches the Rfam family "Bacterial small subunit ribosomal RNA", at positions 509 to 807 of the family's 1533-position model. The record is from RNAcentral.